This 1354-nucleotide long non-coding RNA is filed under the name Apteryx haastii (Great spotted kiwi). Its description in RNAcentral is "lncRNA (ENSAHAG00000016690.1)". Lineage: Eukaryota; Metazoa; Chordata; Aves; Apterygiformes; Apterygidae. The record is from RNAcentral.
AUGGUUUUAUCGGGAAGUGCUGAGGGGAGAGGGGAAAAGGCUUUUGUUGGAAGUACUGAGAGGAGGAAGAGGAAAAUGUUUUGUCAGGAAGUGCUGGGGGGAGGGAGGAGGUUUUCUUGGGAACCGUGGAGGAAAUUGUGGGGAAAGGUUUUGGCGGGAAGUGCUGAGGGGGGUGAGGGGAAAGGUUUUUUGUGGGAAGUACCAGCCAAAGUGGGGGUGAGGGGAAAGAUUUUGUCAGGAAAUGUUGAGGGGAGAGUGGGUAUAUGUUUUUUGUGGGAAGAGGGGAGAAGGGAGAGAUUUCUUGUGGGAAGCGCUGAGGGGAGAGAGGGGAAAGGUUUUGGCGGGAAGUGCUGAGGGGGGUGAGGGGAAAGGUUUUUGAGGAAGCAUUGAGGGGAGGGAAGGCUGAGGGGAGGCUUUCAUUGGAAGUGCUGAGGGGAGAGGGGAAAGGUUUUGGUGGGAAGUGCUGAGGAGAGAGGGGAAACCUUUUGGUGGAAGUGGCAGGGCGGGCAAGAGGAAAAGUUUUGUUGGGAAAAUUUGAGGGGAGAGUGAGUAAAUAUUUUUUGUGGGAAGCGCUGUGAGGAGACAUGAAACAUUUUGGUGGGAAGCACUGAGAGGAUGGGGAAAAGGUUUUUGUGGGAAGUGCUGAGGGGAGRAAGAGGGAAAGGUUUUCUAGGGAAGCACUGAGGGGAGAGAGGGGAACCUUUUUUUGUAGUGCUGUGGGUAGAGGGGGAGGAGGUUUUUCUGCGGAGUACUUACGGAAGGGAGAGGGAAAUGUUUUCUUAUGAAGUGCUCAGGGGAGAGAGUGGAAAGAGUUUGUCAGGAAACAAGCAGGUAUUGGAGAAAGAUUUUUGUGCGAAGUACUGAGGAGAGGGCAAAGGUUUUAUCAGGAUGUGCUGGAAAGGGAAAAGGCUUUUCUGCAAAGCGCUGAGGGAGAGGGGGAAGGAAUGGUUUUGUCUGGAAGUCCUGAGGGAAGAAGGGAAAGUUUUUUUCAGGAAGUGCUGAGGGGAGAAGGUAAAAGGUUUCGGUUGGAAGUGCUGAGGGGAAGGUGAGGAAUUGGUUUUAUUGGGAAGUGCUGAGGGGAGAGGGAAAGGUUUUUUUGGGGAAGAUUGAGGAGAGAUGUAAAAGGGUUUGGGGGAAGCACUGAGGGCAGAGAGAAAAGGUUUUUUUGUUGGAAGCACUGAGGGAAGGAGGGGAAACUUUUUGCCUGAAAAUACUAAGGGGAGAGAGGGAAAGAUUUUUUCCAACAGUGGGAAUGGGGGGGGGGAAACUUUUGAGGAAGGUGCUGAGGGGGGAGGGGGAAGGGUUUUGCUGGGAAGCAUGGAAGGGAGGAAGAGGGAAAAAUUUUGUUAGAAGU